AAAAACACCCUAUCUCAAAAUUUGGUUGAAGAACGCCCUAUCUCACUUCCAAAUAUAUAGAAAUUAUCCUGAAAUGGGGCGUUUUUGAAUCGGCAUUUGAGAUAGGGCGUUUUUGAAACGAAUUUUGAAAUAGGACGUUCUUGCACUCAGCAGUCGAUAUCGUCACAAUGCAAAAAAGACGCAACAGCAAGGUAAUUGAAAUGGAAAAAGUCCUGACUAAUAUUUUUUAUUUAUUUUCAUAAAAUUAUAUGGGAGUUAUAAUUCGAUGAUAUCAAUCAAAAACUGAAUUUUGAAUUUUUUACUUGUUACGACCUUUUGUAUUUCAGCGACGAUUGUUAGGCCUUUUUGCACUUCAGGUGAUGAUAUACAAGCCACGCACAUAUGAAUCACAUGCACGUGCUAAUUGAAUAAGAUUCUUGCGAAAAUAAAUCCCUCGCCCACCUGACCAUGCCAAAGCAUUGAACACGGUUACUCAUCACGGCUUUAAACAUUCUCAUUGUCUAGACGUCGCAGUCUGUAUAAUCAUUCUAAAGAUCCAAACACCACCAGACAAUUUGUCUGCAUUGAUCCCACAAUGUAGAAUGUAUGUAUGUUUAUGUGUACAGUUGCGUUAGGUUGGUUGUUAUGUGCCCUCAAGUCUGCUUUAUACAUAGUGGAAACUGCCGUCUAAAAUUUUGGUGCGACAGAAGCAUCUAAUCGAAGCUUUCAACACAACACGCCCAUCGCUAAGUGCGGCCGAUAUGGCCAAGUAUCAAAAGACUUACGCGCGAUUUACGAAUAAAGAACGUGGGGCAGCCCGGGACUUUGUGGCUAAGCGUGCUACGCUGGCAUAAUAGUUCGAAAUUAUUUUAGUUUUGAAUUUUACCAAUUUUAUGAAUUUUAAUUUUAUUUUUAUAUUGAUACGACGUAUUUACAUUUAAAUACGUAAACAAACAUGUAAAGAAUGGUGUGGUAUUACAUGCUUAUGUAUAUAUGUAUGUAUGCAUAAGUAUACAUACAAACAUGUGGUAUAGUCUGUUUUGUUAUUUUUUUGAAUUUGGCGAAUAAAUACGAAAUGAAUUUUUAAUAACGUAAAACGCAUG
RNAcentral lists this long non-coding RNA (1082 nucleotides) under Rhagoletis pomonella (apple maggot). RNAcentral's name for it is "uncharacterized LOC118739830, transcript variant X1". Lineage: Eukaryota; Metazoa; Arthropoda; Insecta; Diptera; Tephritidae. The record is from RNAcentral.